CUUUGAACAUCGUUGUGCGUGUUUUUUCACUUACCAGCCCAAAAAAGAAUAAUUUGCCUGUAAAUAAAGGAGCUCUAAAAUGUUCAUAAAAGUGUUCGUUCUGAUUUUGGCUUUGGCAACGCUACUUCACUGUGCACCCUUUGGAGAGAAAUUUGCCUCUAUAGUGAACAAUUGUUUCAAUAAUUGCACGAACGCGAGAAGUAAUUGCACUGAAGCAGCAGCAGGCAAUUCAAUAACAUUGUCCAAUUGUCAAAUACAAUCGAUGUUACUCAACUUGUGUAACUUUGACAAAUACUCUUUACGAGGCAAUUCAAAGUCAUUUAAGAGCAAUCCAAUCUUUACGGCGAAAUUAAAAAUGAUGCGGUCGGAGUGAGUGCCAUUUCACCAUGUUUGAUUCGCCAGCUAAUGGCAAUUGCAGUUUUUUUUCAGUGAAUUCAUCCAGCUCACAUAAUAUCUGUUACGACGCGUUAUCUCCUAAUUGGCUGCAGCUAUUUUGAUUUUGUGACCAUCAUGCCAAAAGAUUCUUUUGUUUUGUCCAAUUAUUAUGUCAGUUGAAUGUAAUCACUGGUUUUUUUUAGCCCAAUGAAACCAAAUUGUUAGAUUAGUAUGCUGAUUUUACUUCAAUAAAUAUUGUCGUUUUUUACUGUA
This is a long non-coding RNA of Sitodiplosis mosellana (orange wheat blossom midge), 648 nucleotides long. RefSeq lists it as uncharacterized. The record is from RefSeq and is a predicted model, not a curated record. NCBI's taxonomy places the organism in Eukaryota, Metazoa, Arthropoda, Insecta, Diptera, Cecidomyiidae. The transcript is spliced from 3 exons.